UUGGCUUUCAUCAGGGACAACCUGUUGGUAGUAGGCUUGAUUGACCCUUUGGCUCUCGUUGGAGUGUAUAAUUCAAGAAUGGAUGGAAGGUCUUCCACUGCUUGUUUUCUGGUGAUGCUUGUCUUGUUCAGAAGCACUACACCUGCAGAGAAUUGUUUCAUUCAACGCUAUCUGACAGUGUUCUGCACCAAGGAUGAAUGCAAGCUUGAAUGCCUGUUUCAUUGGAAUGACAAGUGGAUCCACGAACAUUGGUGUGAUGGGAAGAUCUUUGGCAAGUGCAACUGCAAUAUUUGUCCCAGUGGAUAGAGAUCAAUGGAUAUGCUAAGCGCACUUCAUGAUGUCAUUAAAUAAUUGAUCAUUUUGUGUCCUUGGAUCACUUAUUUUAUGCAUGUGAUUAUAUCCUUG
Triticum aestivum (bread wheat) is the source of this 405-nucleotide long non-coding RNA. RefSeq lists it as uncharacterized. Lineage: Eukaryota; Viridiplantae; Streptophyta; Magnoliopsida; Poales; Poaceae. The transcript has 3 exons. The record is from RefSeq and is a predicted model, not a curated record.